RNAcentral lists this ribosomal RNA (261 nucleotides) under uncultured prokaryote. RNAcentral's name for it is "partial 16S ribosomal RNA". It matches the Rfam family "Bacterial small subunit ribosomal RNA", at positions 524 to 784 of the family's 1533-position model. The record is from RNAcentral.
UACGGAGGAUCCGAGCGUUAUCCGGAUUUAUUGGGUUUAAAGGGUGCGCAGGCGGGAGAUUAAGUCGGCGGUGAAAUUUUGCAGCUCAACUGUAAAAGUGCCAUCGAUACUGGUUUUCUUGAGUGUAGAUGAAGUAGGCGGAAUUUGUGGUGUAGCGGUGAAAUGCAUAGAUAUCACGAGGAACUCCGAUUGCGCAGGCAGCUUACUAAACUACUACUGACGCUCAGGCACGAAGGCGUGGGGAUCAAACAGGAUUAGAUA